Molecule: non-coding RNA, 148 nt
Filed under: Homo sapiens (human)
Lineage: Eukaryota; Metazoa; Chordata; Mammalia; Primates; Hominidae
Source: Rfam by way of RNAcentral
GCUGGGUGUGGUGGCGCACGCCUGUAGUCCCAGCUACUUGGGAGGCUGAGGCAGGAGAAUCGCUUGAACCCAGGAGGCGGAGGUUGCAGGGAGCUGAGAUUGAGCCACUGCACUACAGCCUGGGCAACAGAGCGAGACUCCGUCUCAA